RNAcentral lists this ribosomal RNA (253 nucleotides) under uncultured bacterium. RNAcentral's name for it is "partial 16S ribosomal RNA". It matches the Rfam family "Bacterial small subunit ribosomal RNA", at positions 524 to 776 of the family's 1533-position model. The record is from RNAcentral.
UACGAAGGGGGCUAGCGUUGCUCGGAAUCACUGGGCGUAAAGCGCACGUAGGCGGCUUUCUAAGUCAGGGGUGAAAUCCUGGAGCUCAACUCCAGAACUGCCUUUGAUACUGGAGAGCUUGAGUCCGGGAGAGGUGAGUGGAACUCCGAGUGUAGAGGUGAAAUUCGUAGAUAUUCGGAAGAACACCAGUGGCGAAGGCGGCUCACUGGCCCGAUACUGACGCUGAGGCACGAAAGCGUGGGGAGCAAACAGG